GGAAGGGUGCUUGAGAGGCUGAAAAGAGCCGCCUGCUAAGCGGUUGAGGGCCUAAUCGUCCUCCGUGGGUUCGAAUCCCACCCCUUCC
Molecule: transfer RNA, 88 nt
Filed under: Bacillota bacterium
Lineage: Bacteria; Bacillati; Bacillota
Description: Firmicutes bacterium (anaerobic digester metagenome) tRNA-Ser
Rfam family: tRNA
About the family: Transfer RNA (tRNA) molecules are approximately 80 nucleotides in length. Their secondary structure includes four short double-helical elements and three loops (D, anti-codon, and T loops).
Source: RNAcentral